UCAAGGAGCUUGCUCCUGAAGAUCUAGUGGCGAACGGGUGCGUAACACGUGAGAAACCUGCCCCAGACUUGGGAAUAACAGUCGGAAACGACUGCUAAUACCGAAUACCUUCACACCGUCGCAUGGCGAAGUGAAGAAAGCUUUUGCGGUUUGGGAGGGUCUCGCGGCCUAUCAGCUAGUUGGUGAGGUAACGGCUCACCAAGGCAUCGACGGGUAGCUGGUCUGAGAGGAUGAUCAGCCACACUGGGACUGAGACACGGCCCAGACUCCUACGGGAGGCAGCAGUGGGGAAUAUUGCACAAUGGGCGAAAGCCUGAUGCAGCAACGCCGCGUGCGGGAAGAAGGCCCUAGGG
Molecule: ribosomal RNA, 353 nt
Filed under: uncultured bacterium
Lineage: Bacteria
Description: bacterial SSU rRNA
Rfam family: Bacterial small subunit ribosomal RNA
Source: RNAcentral